GGUCCCUGGUGGAUAGUUGUUUUCAUUGUUUAUUCGUUGGUCCCUGGUGGAUAGUUGUUUCAUUGUUUUCGUUGGUCCCUGGUUGAUAGUUGUGUUCAUUGUUUAUUUUCAUUAUUUAUCCGUUGGUCCCUGGUGGAUAGUUGUUCUCAUUGGUUAUCCGUUGGUCCCUGGUGGAUAGUUGUUUUCAUUGUUUAUCCGUUGGUCCCUGGUGGAUAGUUGUUCUCAUUGGUUAUCCGUUGGUCCCUGGUGGAUAGUUGUUUUCAUUGUUUAUUCGUUGGUCCCUGGUGGAUAGUUGUCUCAUUGUUUAUUCAUUGUUCCCUGGUGGAUAGUUGUUUCAUUGUUUAUUCGUUGUUCCCUGGUGGAUAGUUGUAUCAUUGUUUAUUCGUUGGUCCCUGGUUGAUAGUUGUGUUCAUUGUUUAUUCGUUGGUCCCUAGUGGAUAGUUGUCUCAUUGUUUAUUCGUUGGUCCCU
This 469-nucleotide long non-coding RNA is filed under the name Mytilus galloprovincialis (Mediterranean mussel). The record is from RNAcentral. Lineage: Eukaryota; Metazoa; Mollusca; Bivalvia; Mytilida; Mytilidae.